UCGAGCUCACGACCCUGAGAUCAUGACCUGAGCCGAAAACAAGAGCCGGAAGCUUAACCGACUGAGCCGCCCAGGCUUCCCUUUAUGUGGUACUUCUUUUACUUCAGGGGUAGCUCCCCCAUUUGAGGUGGAGGGGAGCUCCCCCUUUCCUCCGCAUUGUGUGAAUUCUGGGGAACAGUAGACUUAGCAAUGCUUCACGUGUGCCCUCGUGUAUCUCCCACAGUGUACAAGGGUUCAUAACAAGCAGACAGUCUCAAGACAACCCCUGGCGUUCUGGUCCCCAGGGCAGGGCGUGGAAACGCAGCUGGAAGGUAGUCUUGAGGGGCCCUGGCACACGUGAGGUUACCAUGCCCUUCUCACAUCCCGUGCCUUGCAGCUCCAUUUGUCACUGAAAUGGAAGCCUCUUGAAAGUCAUCUCAGUGAUGAAAUGAGCGGCACUUUUCUGAAUGAAAGACACCGUUCUCUUUAACAUGCCUAUGAGGUAGCUCACUGAGUGGCCCCUGACGUGUGGAGCCUAUCUGUAGCCUCCUCAGCUACUGGACUGACGGGUGUUAGGGCUGAAGAGGGCUCUGACAAAGAUAGGCCAGCGCAUGGCCGUUUCCUGCUGCCAAAGAAGACAGGCUUUCUCCCGGCUACGGGCAUGCACCGCAGACAUGGGGUUGUCUGUCUCAACGGCAUGGCUUGGAUACCGCAGUGUGGAGCUAGUGUGGGAUUUCCAGUGCUGCUGGGCCCUCUUGGGAUGAGCAGAGCCUCUGAGCUGCAAUUCUUGGCCCAUUUUGGGAAAUCUGAUGGAGUCUAUGGUUUCUCUCCCCCAGAGAAACACAACCCAGACUCAGCCGGAUAUAAGAGCCUGGCAUUUGGGGUAAAGGCCCUUGUGUUAGGGCACUAUGACUCUGUUCUCUUCUCACUUACUUUUUGGGCUUCCUGUUUGGUUUUGCCCUCCUUCCCUUUAGGACUGCAGACAUGGUGCCGGUGCUGUUGGGGCAGUGAUGGCGAGUUCCUGUGUCUGGGGUCAGCUGUCCUGGCGGUGACCGUGUGGAUGACAGGGGCAAGAGUCUCUUGGAAGGAGGUGACACAUUUACCUCCAUUUACGAGUGAGGAGCCAGAAGAAAGAGGGGAGCGAUGAGCUGAGGCCACAAAGCCAGGGAGCAAGAGAGCUUGGGUCUGGAGUUAAGUGGUCUGGUUUCCAAGUCCGAGCUCCCAGCCCUCCACCGCGCUGCCCGGGGCCUGGAGGAAACCCCGUGUGCUGAGCGGGUUUUCUGAACUGAAAAACCAGGAUGAGGAGAAUCAUCCAUUCAACACACGCAAAGCAUUUGUGCUGAUACCUAUUCUGGGCUUUGCUCUGUGUUAGGCUCAGCGUGCACCAGUGGAAAUAUGACAAGGUCCCUGCCGCAUGGGGCUUGGGAAUAGAACACGUGUUACUGGCUCAGCACUGGCCGCCAUCAUCAACGAGCAGAAAGAAGUCCCAUGCAGCUUCCGUGUCAACUGAUGUACUGUGACUCUCCCAUUCCUCAGCUUGUGUGGCCCUGACUCAUGGCUCAGGCUUCUGCAAGGCUCCAGCCUCGGGCCUUCCCUGUGAGACUCAGCAAACACUCACAGAGCGUCCAUCUGCGCGGGCACUUUGCAAAUGGCUCGCGUGCAAUGCUCACUCAAUCCUGGGAGAAAGGGGCAGGCCUGCUCAAGGUGUCUUAGCCACAAAGUGGCAGGGUAGGAUUCAAACCCAGGUCUGCUUCUGAGGCCAGAGGCCCCAGGAGAUGAGGCGGGGCCACUUGGUCCCCGGGCUAGUGGGCAGGAGCUAGUGGAUGCUAGGAGCCAGCCUCCUCUGGAGCUCUUAGGAGGGAUCCAGAUUAAUCUUUAUGAAUAACUUAAUAAUUAUUAAUCCUCAGGAGGCUACUGAUGUGGCAGGGCUCUGAGUUUGGCUGUUUUUCUUCUUCUCCCACACUUGCCUCCCACAGCCACUCGUUCUGGGCCUGGGGAUGGGAGGUGGGGGUGUUCCCAUCAAAAGAACCCUCUUUCUGGGGCGCCUGGGUGGCUCAGUCGUUAA
Long non-coding RNA from Callorhinus ursinus (northern fur seal), 2044 nucleotides. RefSeq lists it as uncharacterized. The record is from RefSeq and is a predicted model, not a curated record. Lineage: Eukaryota; Metazoa; Chordata; Mammalia; Carnivora; Otariidae.